UAACACGUGAGUAACCUGUCCUUUUCUUUGGGAUAACGGCUGGAAACGGCUGCUAAUACUGGAUAUUCAGGCUGCAUCGCAUGGUGUGGUUUGGAAAGGUUUUUUCUGGGAUUGGGUGGGCUCGCGGCCUAUCAGCUUGUUGGUGGGGUGAUGGCUUACCAAGGCUUUGACGGGUAGCCGGCCUGAGAGGGUGGUCGGUCGCACUGGGACUGAGAUACGGCCCAGACUCCUACGGGAGGCAGCAGUGGGGAAUAUUGCACAAUGGACGAAAGUUUGAUGCAGCGACGCCGCGUGGAGGGUGUAGGCCUUCGGGUUGUGAACUCCUUUUUCUCGCGAAAAAGGCACAGUUUUGGCUGUGUUGAUGGUAGUGGGGGAAGAAGCGCCGGCUAACUACGUGCCAGCAGCCGCGGUAAUACGUAGGGCGCGAGCGUUGUCCGGAUUUAUUGGGCGUAAAGAGCUCGUAGGUGGUUCGUCGCGUCUGUCGUGAAAGCCAGCAGCUUAACUGUUGGUCUGCGGUGGGUACGGGCGGGCUUGAGUGCG
This 540-nucleotide ribosomal RNA is filed under the name uncultured Actinomycetes bacterium. RNAcentral's name for it is "bacterial SSU rRNA". It matches the Rfam family "Bacterial small subunit ribosomal RNA", at positions 111 to 650 of the family's 1533-position model. Lineage: Bacteria; Bacillati; Actinomycetota; Actinomycetes. The record is from RNAcentral.